RNAcentral lists this ribosomal RNA (494 nucleotides) under uncultured bacterium. Its description in RNAcentral is "partial 16S ribosomal RNA". It matches the Rfam family "Bacterial small subunit ribosomal RNA", at positions 30 to 506 of the family's 1533-position model. The record is from RNAcentral.
UGACCGCUGGCGGCGUGCCUACUACAUGCAAGUCGAGCGACCAGACGCGGAGCUUGCUCCUCUGACGUUAGCGGCGGACGGGUGAGUAACACGUGGAUAACCUACCUAUAAGACUGGGAUAACUUCGGGAAACCGGAGCUAAUACCGGAUAAUAUAUUGAACCGCAUGGUUCAAUAGUGAAAGACGGUUUUGCUGUCACUUAUAGAUGGAUCCGCGCCGCAUUAGCUAGUUGGUAAGGUAACGGCUUACCAAGGCAACGAUGCGUAGCCGACCUGAGAGGGUGAUCGGCCACACUGGAACUGAGACACGGUCCAGACUCCUACGGGAGGCAGCAGUAGGGAAUCUUCCGCAAUGGGCGAAAGCCUGACGGAGCAACGCCGCGUGAGUGAUGAAGGUCUUCGGAUCGUAAAACUCUGUUAUUAGGGAAGAACAAAUGUGUAAGUAACGAUGCACGUCUUGACGGUACCUAAUCAGAAAGCCACGGCUAACUACGU